Molecule: ribosomal RNA, 232 nt
Filed under: Bigelowiella longifila
Lineage: Eukaryota; Cercozoa; Chlorarachniophyceae
Description: partial Bacterial small subunit ribosomal RNA
Rfam family: Bacterial small subunit ribosomal RNA
Source: RNAcentral
GACUCUAACAGGACUGCCUGCGCGAGCAGAGAGGAAGGAGGGGACGGCGUCAAGUCAUCAUGGCCCUUACGUCCAGGGCUGCACACGUGCUACAAUGGAUGGUACAGAAGGUCGCUACUCAGCAAUGAGGUGCAAAUCUUUAAAACCAUUCUCAGUUCGGAUCGGAGUCUGCAACUCGACUCCGUGAAGUUGGAAUCGCUAGUAAUCGGUGGUCAGCUACACAGCGGUGAAU